CCGUUAAGAAUAGAAGAUGUAGACCACAUAAGACUGACUUUCUGUCCCAAAUUACCACAAUUUUGAGAUGCAGUUUGGUGGAAUGGCUUUCCCCAAAACAGGGUGCAAGUAGGCUUUUCUGACUUAUACAGGACUUCUUCAACAAGGCUCAGAAGAACAAAAUUCUCAAGUUUGGAAGAUGCAUUGCAAAAGAGGCCUCAGUCACUGAAAAAUGAGCCCAAAGAGGAAAGGCAGCCCAAGGUAACCCAGCCAUGUCCUGCUGCAGAGGAGAACAGAGAAGAUGGCAAG
This is a long non-coding RNA of Catharus ustulatus (Swainson's thrush), 288 nucleotides long. RefSeq lists it as uncharacterized. The transcript has 3 exons. NCBI's taxonomy places the organism in Eukaryota, Metazoa, Chordata, Aves, Passeriformes, Turdidae. The record is from RefSeq and is a predicted model, not a curated record.